Molecule: microRNA, 17 nt
Filed under: Corchorus olitorius
Lineage: Eukaryota; Viridiplantae; Streptophyta; Magnoliopsida; Malvales; Malvaceae
Description: hsa-miR-45
Source: RNAcentral
UGAGAUAGUAGUUGCUU